AAAAAGAGGUGGACUCUUACUUCCCUUGAUGUGAAUCAAAAUAUACUCUCCUUUUAAAAAAAUAAAGCAGCUCACAAAUAUAAGUAAUAAUAAUAAAGAAUUUUAAAUGAAAGUGAGAUGAGGGUAAAAAAAAAAAAUCAGUGCAGAAAUUUCAGAAAAGCUCCUCCCACAUUCCAGGAAACCUAGAUCCACUCACUCCUUGCACACAAUAGGAGAAAAAACAGGCAAGAAAGAGGACAGCACACGAGUAUCUGAAGAAAAGGUUGAAAUGUUACUGUAAUAAAAGCGGAAAUAAAUUUCUACACAGCUUCUUUAGAAAUGGUCCGGGAGAGAGACAGAAGAAGUAAAAGGAUGAGGCCAUAUCCCAGAAGCCAAGAAGGCAGAUUCUGUCGAAGAGGGUGACAGGGUGCCCUACACUGUAAAAUGCUUCAAACAGAUUUAGGAGAGUGAGGACCAAAAAGCUGUGACCUUGACAACCAGAAAUUCACAGUGACCUUUGAGGAAACAGUUUUCUCAAGAUGUGGAAAUGGAAGUCAGAAUGCAAAGAGUUGAGGAGCAAGUGCAUGGUGGUGAAGCCAACCUAUUUUUUAAUUAACCAGGGUCAAUGUACUUUAAAAGUCUUCAGAAUGCCUGUAAGUUUCCUUUACUAGUUCCAUGUACUUUCUUGUUUUCCCAUAAAAAUCUGGAUUUGUGGCAGAAGAGAAUGAAAAAAAUUAAAAAUUAAAAGCGCUGCUUUUCCUUAAGCACUGACAAAAUACAAUAAAAGCUGAUUCUUAUUAAG
Molecule: long non-coding RNA, 781 nt
Filed under: Homo sapiens (human)
Lineage: Eukaryota; Metazoa; Chordata; Mammalia; Primates; Hominidae
Description: HSALNT0280459
Source: RNAcentral